This 387-nucleotide ribosomal RNA is filed under the name Cryptodifflugia sp. RNAcentral's name for it is "partial small subunit ribosomal RNA". It matches the Rfam family "Eukaryotic small subunit ribosomal RNA", at positions 587 to 975 of the family's 1831-position model. Lineage: Eukaryota; Tubulinea; Elardia; Arcellinida; Cryptodifflugiidae. The record is from RNAcentral.
AGCUCCAAUAGUGUAUAUUAGCGUUGCUGUAGUUAAAAAGCUCGUAGUUGGAUUUCGAAAUGCGACUGUCAAAGCCCGUCCAAGUGGCGUGGCUCGACUGGUUGCUUUCUGUCUUUGGGUAAUGGGCGUAGCUUCGGUUGCGUUUUCCGUUCCCAAUUGUUUACUUUGAAAAAAUUAGCGCGUUCAAAGCAGGUGUAACUUUGCCUUGAAUAGUUUAGCAUGGGAUAAUAGAAUAGGACCACCGGCCUUAUUUUAUUGGUUUCUAAAGCUGGGGUAAUGAUUAAUAGGGACAGUUGGGGUCGGUCGUAUUGAAUCGUCAGAGGUGAAAUUCUAUGAUUGAUUCAAGACGAACUGGUGCGAAAGCGUCCGACAAGGAUGUUUCCGUUA